UGGGGAAUAUUGCACAAUGGGCGCAAGCCUGAUGCAGCCAUGCCGCGUGUAUGAAGAAGGCCUUCGGGUUGUAAAGUACUUUCAGUCGGGAGGAAGGUGGUAAGGUUAAUAACCUUAUCAAUUGACGUUACCGACAGAAGAAGCACCGGCUAACUCCGUGGCAGCAGCCGCGGUAAUACGGAGGGUGCAAGCGUUAAUCGGAAUUACUGGGCGUAAAGCGCACGCAGGCGGUUGAUUGAGUCAGAUGUGAAAUCCCCGGGCUUAACCCGGGAAUUGCAUCUGAUACUGGUCAGCUAGAGUCUUGUAGAGGGGGGUAGAAUUCCAUGUGUAGCGGUGAAAUGCGUAGAGAUGUGGAGGAAUACCGGUGGCGAAGGCGGCCCCCUGGACAAAGACUGACGCUCAGGUGCGAAAGCGUGGGGAGCAAACAGG
This 429-nucleotide ribosomal RNA is filed under the name Chloroflexota bacterium. Its description in RNAcentral is "Chloroflexi bacterium partial 16S ribosomal RNA". It matches the Rfam family "Bacterial small subunit ribosomal RNA", at positions 355 to 776 of the family's 1533-position model. The record is from RNAcentral. Lineage: Bacteria; Bacillati; Chloroflexota.